UUUGGUGGCGAUAGCGAAGAGGUCACACCCGUUCCCAUGCCGAACACGGAAGUUAAGCUCUUCAGCGCCGAUGGUAGUUGGGGG
RNAcentral lists this ribosomal RNA (84 nucleotides) under Bacillus paralicheniformis. Lineage: Bacteria; Bacillati; Bacillota; Bacilli; Caryophanales; Bacillaceae. The record is from RNAcentral.